CGCGCCAUGGCCUGGGCCCCUCUCCUCCUGGCGCUGCUCGCCCACGGCUCAGGAUCCCUGGUCCAGGCAGCRSUGACUCAGCCGGCCUCBGUGGACGUGUCCCCCGGAGGCACCGCCACCAUCACCUGCUCUGCUGGUAGCAGCAGCUGGUUUGGCUGGUUGCAGCAGAAACCUGGUGGUGCGCCAGUCGUUGUGAUCUAUCAGAACGACAAGAGACCCUCGGGCAUCCCGGCGAGAUUCUCCGCUUCCACGUCUGGCUCCUCGAACACUUUAACCAUCACUGGGGUGCAAGCCGAGGACGAGGCCGUCUAUUACUGUGAUGUUUGA
This is a non-coding RNA of Nothoprocta perdicaria, 327 nucleotides long. Lineage: Eukaryota; Metazoa; Chordata; Aves; Tinamiformes; Tinamidae. The record is from the annotation of a RefSeq genome assembly.